UACGUAGGGGGCUAGCGUUGUCCGGAAUCAUUGGGCGUAAAGCGCGCGUAGGCGGCCAGAUAAGUCCGGUGUGAAAGUCACAGGCUCAACCUGUGAAUGCCGCUGGAAACUGUCUGGCUAGAGUCCGGAAGGGGCGAGUGGAAUUCCUGGUGUAGCGGUGAAAUGCGCAGAUAUCAGGAGGAACACCAAUGGCGAAGGCAGCUCGCUGGGACGGUACUGACGCUGAGGCGCGAAAGCCAGGGGAGCAAACGGG
This 253-nucleotide ribosomal RNA is filed under the name uncultured bacterium. RNAcentral's name for it is "partial 16S ribosomal RNA". It matches the Rfam family "Bacterial small subunit ribosomal RNA", at positions 524 to 776 of the family's 1533-position model. The record is from RNAcentral.